GUCUUGAGUUCAACCUGUGAGGGCAAGACUAAGUCUAGAUUGAUAUUUUGAAAAUGGGCCCUUCUACUGUGCCGCGUUGCCCUCACCAUGUCAACCUAGCCAUCCUCUCAAGGCUCCUUCUGUUGGGGAGGGGAAAAAACUUUUUUUUUCCAGGUUAGCUGUCUGUAAGGGGCUGCUUAAUUGUACACGAAGACAUCAAUCGGGGUCUUUAAGGAAACAGCUGAAUGGUGCUUCUAUGCCAGACGUCAUGUCUAUCCAUGGUCUUUACUGACAUGUCAGCCAGACACAGAAUGUGUUCUUCCUGAUAAUGAGUGGUGGUGUGAGCUAGAGGGACUUGCUGUGUAUUUAAAAAUUGUGGCCUUCGAAUGUGUGUAAUGAAAGUGUAAAGUUAGCUAUAUAACUUUGUGAUGUACACCCAUGAGUCAUAACUGUUUAACAUUUGGUCCUCCACUAUGCUUGUUAAACCUGGUACUAUACUAGCUACUAUAGACUAAUUGGGCACAUGCAGUAUGGUAAUUAAUCACUGGUCAAAAACUAAUUACAUGCAUCUUUGCUGAUGAACAUUGUUUAUUCAGUGUGACAUGCUGUCAGUGUAUAAGAUGAAGCAUUUUUAAAAGUAUUUAUGUAAAAUCCCACCCCCUCCUAAAAAAAUGAAUAUUUUUUUCAAUAACACUUAAUAAAAAAAAAUACUUUCCUUUAAUGGCCAAACAGAUUAAACAUGUAAACAAGAACAGUAUUUAAAACCUUCUGUACAAUAAUGAUUCAUUGCAUGUUAAUGCUAAUUUGUAUUGUAUGCACUGCUACCUUUGAGAAUAAAUGUAAUGUACUAUGUAACCCUGAA
Ictalurus punctatus (channel catfish) is the source of this 841-nucleotide long non-coding RNA. RefSeq lists it as uncharacterized. The transcript has 2 exons. NCBI's taxonomy places the organism in Eukaryota, Metazoa, Chordata, Actinopteri, Siluriformes, Ictaluridae. The record is from RefSeq and is a predicted model, not a curated record.